CAGGCGUGAUUGACUCGUGUCGUGAGAUGUUGGGUUAAGUCCCGCAACGAGCGCAACCCUUUUCCUUACUUGCCAUCGGGUCAUGCCGGGAACUUUAAGGAUACUGCCAGUGACAAACUGGAGGAAGGCGGGGACGACGUCAAGUCAUCAUGGCCCUUACGACCAGGGCUACACACGUGCUACAAUGGUCGGUACAAAGGGUUGCUACCUAGCGAUAGGAUGCUAAUCUCAAAAAGCCGAUCGUAGUCCGGAUUGGAGUCUGCAACUCGACUCCAUGAAGUCGGAAUCGCUAGUAAUCGCGGAUCAGAAUGCCGCGGUGAAUACGUUCCCGGGCCUUGUACACACCGCCCGUCACACCAUGGGAGUUUGUUGCACCAGAAGUAGGUAGUCUAACCGCAAGGAGGACGCUACUCAA
RNAcentral lists this ribosomal RNA (415 nucleotides) under bacterium 14S415. RNAcentral's name for it is "bacterial SSU rRNA". It matches the Rfam family "Bacterial small subunit ribosomal RNA", at positions 1044 to 1460 of the family's 1533-position model. The record is from RNAcentral.